This is a long non-coding RNA of Mustela erminea (ermine), 226 nucleotides long. RefSeq lists it as uncharacterized. The record is from RefSeq and is a predicted model, not a curated record. The transcript has 3 exons. Lineage: Eukaryota; Metazoa; Chordata; Mammalia; Carnivora; Mustelidae.
CAAGAGUUGGACACUUAACCAACUGAACUAUCCAGUGUUCAGUUCUACCACCUCAAGCAAACCAAUAUAGCAAGGAGGAAAUUUCUACUGUAUAAUAGAUUUGGAGGCAUCUCCAGAGGUCCCUUUCCAACAGAAGCCAAAGCAGAUUUUUUUGUUCAAGACAGGCACGAGGACUUACGUUUGAGGGGUAUGGAGGCCUUGUUUAUUGAGAUCCUGAGACCUUAAC